CUUGACAUCCAGAGAAUUUAGCAGAGAUGCUUUAGUGCCUUCGGGAACUCUGAGACAGGUGCUGCAUGGCUGUCGUCAGCUCGUGUUGUGAAAUGUUGGGUUAAGUCCGCAACGAGCGCAACCCUUUAUCCUUUGUUGCCAGCACGUAAUGGUGGGAACUCAAAGGAGACUGCCGGUGAUAAACCGGAGGAAGGUGGGGAUGACGUCAAGUCAUCAUGGCCCUUACGAGUAGGGCUACACACGUGCUACAAUGGCGUAUACAAAGAGAAGCGACCUCGCGAGAGCAAGCGGACCUCAUAAAGUGCGUCGUAGUCCGGAUUGGAGUCUGCAACUCGACUCCAUGAAGUCGGAAUCGCUAGUAAUCGUAAAUCAGAAUGUUACGGUGAAUACGUUCCCGGGCCUUGUACACACCGCCCGUCACACCAUGGGAGUGGGUUGCAAAAGAAGUAGAUAGCUUAACCUUCGGGAGGGCGUUUACCACUUUGUGAUUCAUGACUGGGGUGAAGUCGUAACAAGGUAAGCGUAGUGCU
This 530-nucleotide ribosomal RNA is filed under the name uncultured bacterium. Its description in RNAcentral is "bacterial SSU rRNA". It matches the Rfam family "Bacterial small subunit ribosomal RNA", at positions 980 to 1509 of the family's 1533-position model. The record is from RNAcentral.